GAUGAACGCUAGCGGCAGGCUUAAUACAUGCAAGUCGAGGGGUAACAUGGUAGCAAUACGGAUGACGACCGGCAAACGGGUGCGGAACACGUACAGAACCUUCCUUUAAGCGGGGGAUAGCCCAUAGAAAUGUGGAUUAAUACCCCAUAGUAAUGUUUAAUGGCAUCAUUAGAUAUUUAAAGAUUUAUCACUUAAAGAUGGCUGUGCGGCUGAUUAGGUAGUUGGUGCGGGUAACGGCCCACCAAGCCAGCGAUCAGUAACUGGU
RNAcentral lists this ribosomal RNA (265 nucleotides) under uncultured bacterium. RNAcentral describes it as "partial 16S ribosomal RNA". It matches the Rfam family "Bacterial small subunit ribosomal RNA", at positions 28 to 291 of the family's 1533-position model. The record is from RNAcentral.